GAAAGCUUGCUUUCUUUGCUGACGAGCGGCGGACGGGUGAGUAAUGCCUAGGGAACUGCCCAGUCGAGGGGGAUAACAGUUGGAAACGACUGCUAAUACCGCAUACGCCCUACGGGGGAAAGGAGGGGCUCUUCGGACCUUUCGCGAUUGGAUGUACCUAGGUGGGAUUAGCUUGUUGGUGAGGUAAGAGCUCACCAAGGCGACGAUCCCUAGCUGUUCUGAGAGGAUGAUCAGCCACACUGGGACUGAGACACGGCCCAGACUCCUACGGGAGGCAGCAGUGGGGAAUAUUGCACAAUGGGCGAAAGCCUGAUGCAGCCAUGCCGCGUGUGUGAAGAAGGCCUUCGGGUUGUAAAGCACUUUCAGCGAGGAGGAAAGGUUAACGGUUAAUACCCGUUAGCUGUGACGUUACUCGCAGAAGAAGCACCGGCUAAGUUGGUGCCAGCAGCCGCGGUAAUACGAGGGGUGCAAGCGUUAAUCGGAAUUACUGGGCGUAAAGCGUACGCAGGCGGUUUGUUAAGCGAGAUGUGAAAGCCCCGGGCUCAACCUG
This 550-nucleotide ribosomal RNA is filed under the name gamma proteobacterium PM31. RNAcentral's name for it is "bacterial SSU rRNA". It matches the Rfam family "Bacterial small subunit ribosomal RNA", at positions 74 to 616 of the family's 1533-position model. The record is from RNAcentral. Lineage: Bacteria; Pseudomonadati; Pseudomonadota; Gammaproteobacteria.